This 73-nucleotide non-coding RNA is filed under the name Thalassovita taeanensis. RNAcentral's name for it is "Phaeobacter sp. G4 Singlet oxygen resistance RNA X". It matches the Rfam family "Singlet oxygen resistance RNA X". Rfam says of the family: SorX (RSs2461)like SorY is a singlet oxygen induced sRNA that counteracts oxidative stress by targeting mRNA for a transporter in Rhodobacter. It also has an impact on resistance against organic hydroperoxides. The record is from Rfam by way of RNAcentral. Lineage: Bacteria; Pseudomonadati; Pseudomonadota; Alphaproteobacteria; Rhodobacterales; Roseobacteraceae.
UCCCGUCGCAUAUGCGGGUUAUCAUAUGCACCUCCCUGUUGGACUUACCCGGGCUUCGCGCCCGGGUAUUUUU